GAUUCCUAGAAAAAUGCUUAAGCAGAAACACCAUCAUUAUAUAGAAACACAAAAAUUCACAGAAAUUCACGACAAUUAUUUUGAGCAUGAACACAUCACAGAAUGAACUGGGAAGAAACUAAAACAUCAAUGACUGACAUAUACAUUCAACUAAUGCUUUUCCACUCCACAAUCAGGUAUUAAUAUGUAUCACACAAAAGAAUCCAG
Molecule: unclassified non-coding RNA, 207 nt
Filed under: Hevea brasiliensis (rubber tree)
Lineage: Eukaryota; Viridiplantae; Streptophyta; Magnoliopsida; Malpighiales; Euphorbiaceae
Source: RNAcentral